RNAcentral lists this long non-coding RNA (5993 nucleotides) under Heterocephalus glaber (naked mole-rat). Its description in RNAcentral is "lncRNA (ENSHGLG00000038904.1)". Lineage: Eukaryota; Metazoa; Chordata; Mammalia; Rodentia; Bathyergidae. The record is from RNAcentral.
CUCGGACAGAAGAGGGAGUUGAAAUGGGGACCUUCCCAGCUUCAGCCCCCAGGAGAGAUGACUUUUCUUUCUUUAUCAGGCUACAACUUUUAAAAGGAGAAAAAUAUUUUUAAGAAAGAAAAAGCAGAAAAAAAGAAAACUUUUAAAGGAUGGAAGGGAUCCAGCUCUUUAAGCCACAAUAAAACUGCUCAUCACUCAGGAAGUGUGUUAGCCAAAACUACGAAAAGAAAUUCCUUCUUGACCGCCGUCGUUCCCAUGGUUGCAGUUCAUCCCCAAGUGCAGACCACAGACACAGAAAUCUGCGUCCCCCAGGCAUCUGCACAGCUAAGAAAUCGGAAGCGGCUGCCAGCCCCUCACCCUCGGGACUUUUACUGGUCCUGCGCCCAAUGAGCAGGUGAGGGGCGGCACAGAAAGACCUUCAUCGCCUUUAAUGGCUCUCAGAGUAUAAGAGCUCCCGGGCACUGUGGGACCUGGGUUCUGAGGUUCCCCUCGGGCGGCUUCCGGCCCGGCCCAGGGAACCAGCAGCUGCGGCUCUCCACAGAGUGCACGGGCAGAGGACCCUGCAGACCCCUGCUGAGAGGAAGCCGGAGACACGGCCUCAGGUGCAGGCCUUAGCUCAGCACACAGCUCUAUCUGCAGAGUGGCUCCCACAGCCUGGGCGUCACUGAGGAGACACACGCUGCACAGGGCCCGCUGGCCGGGCCCAACCUGGCCAAGGGAGGUGAUCACGCACCCAACCACAGGGCGUGCGGAAACUGGGGUGACUCCCUGGCACCUGGACGGGCUCAGAAGGGCCUUUUCAGUCCGUCCUGGGUGUCCAGCCUGUGACCACCAGCAGCUCCCUCCUGCUUGGACCUGAAGGCAGCUCCCUGCAGCAUCCAAGGACAUGGGUCACCCCUGCCCACCUGCCCUGGGCCUGGUCUCAAGUCAAAGCCGCCAGAGGUCCCCGUCCAGAAGCAGCGCUGUUUCCUCGCUGCCCCGCAUCCCCGGUGGCCUGGCCUGCCGGUCGCCCUCCAGUGAGACCCCACUCUGAGGCCUCAGGCUGGCACAGGCACCGAAACGCCCCCAAACGCCGCAGAAGCAGAGGAAAGGACACCUGCUUUUCAGCAAAGCCACUCCCUGGGUCACUCCUCCACGGGGCAGAGAUCUGUGAGAACCAUAAACUUGCAUUUUCUUCAGAAAGCACCUUCUUCUAUCUAACUGUGGAAGCCUUCUUAAAUAAGUACAAUACUGUAAUGUAAAUGCUAACUUCGGCCCCCAGUACACUCGCCAGCAAGGAAAGGAAUUCACAGGCGAGCACUCCACGUCAGCGCUGAAAAGAACUAGGAUGAUCCGUGUGCUCAGGCAGAGCGAUCUAAAGCAACACAUGGUAGGGACUGUCAGCGGACGCUGCCUCACUGUGAGCCUGCAGGAAAGGACCUGAGUGUAUUCAGAUGGUGACAGUAAGUUCUAACAAACUUCCCACACGCAGAUAUAAAUCCAAUCACAUCAGUAAAAAUAUCAGUAAAAACUGACUCUUACCCAAAGGGAUUACUGGCAAAGGCUUCGAGCCAGGGAGACCAAGGAGAGCACCCACUCGGGGAGGCCCAGAGGGCAGGGUGGGCUGCAGCUCCUGAGGGACCUGGAGCAGCUGAGGCUGAGGCGGCAGCACGGGCAGCGAGGCAGAGUGACUGUAGUGGAGCAGGACUAUACUCCCAGCAGUCUGGGGGGCUGAGGAAGGAGGAUCCAAGCACAAGCCCAACCUGGGCAACUUAGCGAGACCUUGUCUCCAAAUAAAAAGGGCUGGGGAUGCAGCUCAGUGGGAAGGCCCUGGGUUGGCUCCCUGCACCCCCGACACACACAUGCACACUCACACACAAGUGACUGCAGGACGUGUGCUCUCUGCCCCACCAGCAAGGGGAGCUCCAUGAGGAAGCUCAGUGAGUGUGAGGUUCGGCCACCAGCUGACGCAUGGGCGUUCGCCGCCGGGACAGACACCCUCAGGAAGCAGCCCCAGCCAGGACGCCAUGUCCCAGCCCACCGGCAGGCAUCCUGGACUGGAUCCCAGCCCCUCGAGCCACUGUGGGCUCUGGGCUCAGGACGCGAGGUGCCGCCCUGCAGGCCACCCGGGCCCCCCGGGCCCCGUGCCUGACCUUGGCCUUCCUGCUGCCCCCCGCCUUUUAAAGGUUUUCCUGGCAGCCUUGCCAUUUUGCUUCUGGUAGUGGCUUUUACAGAACCGGCUCUUUGUUUACGGGCCAGGACGCCACAAUUGCAGCAGCACAUGAGAUGUUCUAGAUGUUCCCGGCAGCUUCUCUUCAGCAUCAAAUAUUAAACUCCUGCCAUCGGCAGAGUUUGGACCUGGGGUGGGGCCAGCAGGAAGAGCUCGGGCGCAGAGACCUUGGCCUGACCUCAGAUCCAGGCAGGAGGGUGCUCGCCCGUGUCCCGCCCCAGGGACCGAGCUCCGAGAGAGCAAGCCAGCCCAGCGUCCGGCUCUGGCUCAAGGGCCCCAGGGCUGGGCUGGAAACAGAAUCCAACUGUGCCUCUCGAGGCCUCCAGCUGAAGCAGCUCUUUUCUUUUUCUUUUGCCUUUUCUUUUCUUCUUCUUCUUCUUUUAUUUUUUCUAAUUUUGAGACAAGGUCCUCCUGAGUCCCUUAGCUGCCCGAGGCUAGGCUCAAACUUACGAUCCUCCUGCUUCAGCAUCCCGGAGUGCUGGGGUCACAGGUGUGCAGCACCUCGCCUGCUGAGCAGCUCCUGGGCAGCAUUUCUGAGUCUCCACCGACUGUCACCUGAGCCCGAGGACUGCACACCGGCCCUGGAGGCCACUGUGCCUGCAGACGGCAAAAGGCGACACAUAGACACCAGGCAGUGACGGUAACACUGGCCGGGCCCACGCACUUCCAGCUUUGCUCCACCAUGCCCUUCCACCAUGACAUUCCUGCCUUGGAGCAGCCGAUCAGGGACUGAAUCCCCUGCAACUCUGUCUCAGGGGUUUGUCACGGUGACGGAAAGCUGGCCGAUGCGGACAUCUGGAGCCGCGCAGAGGAGGAUCUGCUCGGUGUCACUUCGGCACAGCCUGGGGGUCCUGUCCUAGGGCGCUGGCUUCUCAAGCUGGAGCAGACCUGGCCCAGCCUCUUGUCACCAAUCGCCGGCCACCUUGUUUGGAGGAUUCGAGUUCUGGGGUGCCAACCUAACCCGGCUCAACCCACAGAGACCAGAGCUGGGCCAAGGCUGAGUGUGAAGGUUCUGGCUGCCCAGGGCCCUUCCAGGCUCUCAUCCUGUUCAAAGAAUUGUAUGGAGAGGCUUCACACGCAUUAAAGGUGCGCGGGGGCCUGGGACUCAGCUGCUCCCCUACUGCACGGCCUGCGUGGGAAGAAGCCCACUCCCCAGGCCACUGCAGUGCAUGGGAGGAAGGGCCCUGAGAGGACGUCCCCUCCCUGGACAACCAUCUGCUAGGCUGCCAGGGGCUGCCAGGAAGACACAGGCCCAGAGGGCCAGAGAGUUCCGGACGCCGUCUGGCGUUCCCACUGUGGGAAGGCACUGACCUGGCCAUUGCUCCUCGGAGAUCCUGGGCAGAGAGAUGGGGGCGGCACAGAAAGCUCACCCACAGGCCCGAGGCCUGUUUUUAUAAAUAAAGCUUUAUUGGAACACUGACGCUAUCCUUCCUUUGCAUCUUGUCUGUGGCUGCUUUCCUGCUACAGGAACAGUGGAAUCCUUGGGGCAACCAGGCUCAGGAUGUUUGCCAGACGGCAGGCGAUGCUGUCCCCCAGAAGAUGUAGCUUGUCCUGGCCGGUGGCUGACUCUGCCGUGGGUAUGCACACCAGCUCCUGUGUGGGAUUCCAGCGAUGAGGCAGAAAGGCCGCACGCGUUGUGGCAGCAGCAAAGGCCACUUGCCUGUGUGGCCAGGAUGUGACAGAGAAGGAAGAGAAGGGCCCGGUCCCCCACGUCUCCAAGGGCUCCCCAGGGACCUCGCCCUCAGCCUAUCACUGGGCUUGUCCGGCCUGGAGGAGAAUUUCUGCAGAACCAGUGAGCUCAUCCACUUGAGUGAGGGCACGGGAGGCCAGGAGGAGGCCCUGAGCGCUGUCCACCGCGAGCCAUGUUGGGGUGAACAGGAGUGCCUGCUGGAUCCAAGCCUGCCCCAGAGAAUACAAGAUCUGGGAGCUCUUCUGAGGAAAGAGACGGAACCCCAGCUGGUCACUGAGCAGAUGCUGCAGCCCCCCGGUGGGUCCAUGCACACCAGGAGCUCCGCUCGCCAGGUGCUGGCGGCCUCCUCCCGGUGUUUGCUGGUGAAGACGAGCCUGGACUUCCUUCAAAGUACGGCUGUCGCUGGCACAGGAGUGGGGGUUGGGGGUGACAGCUUGAGGGGGUUGUUUUUCCUUGUUAGCAAGUUCUGCGUUUAACAUUUAAAAUUAUGACAACUGAUGCAAUGUUUUCUUGAAAUGGUGAAGCUAUUUUAAACCAUUCAGCUGGACAGGAGUUUGUAGUUUAUACUGGUACACGUUUAAAACACUUCGCAAUUAAUUAUUGGGCUUAAAAAAUUAAAGCUAUAAUCUGGGCGUGGUGCUGCACACCUGUAAUCCCAGCACUUGGGAGGCUGACACAGGAGUAUCGCUGUGAGUUUGAGGCCAGCCUGGGCAAUAUGGUGAGACCCGUGUCAAUCCCCCCAGAUCAAAGCUGUAAAUUUAUUCCGAUUUCUGUCUUGCACUUCAUUUCAGUGGAAAUAAAGGGCCGGCUAGGAGCACUCUGACUGGCAGUGACGAGACAAUGACAGCUUUUGCUGAAGGCGAAACCUGCCGCCGUCAUUCUUGGGGAUCGGUAGCCUUUCCCCAGUGGGCUUGAGGCCCGGCGCGAGGUCCGUUCUUCACCAGGAGUGCGAAUUCUUCUCUCUAAAUGCAUGUUGACGUUUAGUUGGCACACAGUAAUCACACGCAUGUGGGUUUCGGUGCCGCACUUCGGCACGCGGCACGGAAUGAUCCGUGACUGACGCAGCCAUCGCCUCAAAUGGCAGUCGUUUCUUGGGGGAGGCCCCCGCAUCCCCUCCCUCACUGUUCUGAAAUACUCAGCUGAUCACGGCCCACCACACUUAUCCAGCCCUGCUGUCCUCCCACCCGCCUGCACCCCAACGCCCACGACCGCCCCUCUCCCCGUCCGGGGCUCGGGAGUCUCAGUGUCCCCUUCUUCUAGGAGAAACCUCUUAGCUGUGAUAAAAACAUCCCACGAGUGUUUGCUUUGUUUUGUUUUGGUUGGGUUUGGCGUUGUCUUUCUGCCCUGGCUCUUUCACCUGGAGGGGCGGCCCCCAGUUCCGUGAGAAAUGGAAGGCGGCCGCCCUGAAGAAGCCGAGCGCGCUCUCUGCCCAGGACCCCAGGCUGCAGCCCGCGUGCCCACAGGCGGGAUGCGCACGGCGCCCAGCUGUCGGGAGGGGGGUCCCGGGGCGCCAGGCGUGGACAGUGACAGGGCCGGCAGGGUCCACGGGGCGGGGAGGGGACGGUGUCUGGGGCUGAGGGCCAUGGGGCAGCAGAAUGAAUUAGCAGCUUCUCGUUCUCCUCCCGGAAUCCCCCAGGCCCUGGGACUUUUUGACCAGGAUGACGACCUUCAAGGACUGGGUGGUCGCUCUGACCACAGUGCAGAGUGGGGGAAGGAAAGGAGACGUGUCAGGAGGAGAUUCCGUGCCCGCCUGGACCAAGGAGCGUCAGAAGAAUGGGGAGGAGAAGGCGGGACCCAAGGCUAUUCAGGGAACCAAGUCAAGAGGCCCACAUUCAUCCCUGACAGCAUUAUUUAUCAGCAAUACACGUGUUUGUUUUGUUUUAUUUUGUUUUGGAGACAGGGUCUCACUAUAUCAUCCAGGCUGGUCUUGAACUCCCAGCAAUCCUCUUGCUUCGGCCUCCAGGUAACUAGGAUUACAGGUUUGCACCACCAUAUCUAGUUUAUACGUAUUUUUUGUUAUGUAUCAGCUAACAAAUUUAAUUUUAAAAACAAAUCCUGUUCUUUAAAACUUUUGUAAAACCAGGUGUUGUAAAA